This 497-nucleotide ribosomal RNA is filed under the name uncultured bacterium. RNAcentral describes it as "partial 16S ribosomal RNA". It matches the Rfam family "Bacterial small subunit ribosomal RNA", at positions 28 to 507 of the family's 1533-position model. The record is from RNAcentral.
GAUGAACGCUGGCGGCGUGCCUAAUACAUGCAAGUCGAGCGAACAGACGAGGAGCUUGCUCCUCUGACGUUAGCGGCGGACGGGUGAGUAACACGUGGAUAACCUACCUAUAAGACUGGGAUAACUUCGGGAAACCGGAGCUAAUACCGGAUAAUAUAUUGAACCGCAUGGUUCAAUAGUGAAAGACGGUUUUGCUGUCACUUAUAGAUGGAUCCGCGCCGCAUUAGCUAGUUGGUAAGGUAACGGCUUACCAAGGCAACGAUGCGUAGCCGACCUGAGAGAGUGAUCGGCCACACCGGAACUGAGACACGGUCCAGACUCCUACGGGAGGCAGCAGUAGGGAAUCUUCCGCAAUGGGCGAAAGCUUUACGGAGCAACGCCGCGUGAGUGAUGAAGGUCUUCGGAUCGUAAAACUCUGUUAUUAGGGAAGAACAAAUGUGUAAGUAACUAUGCACGUCUUGACGGUACCUAGUCAGAAAGCCACGGCUAACUACGUG